This 468-nucleotide ribosomal RNA is filed under the name uncultured bacterium. RNAcentral's name for it is "partial 16S ribosomal RNA". It matches the Rfam family "Bacterial small subunit ribosomal RNA", at positions 28 to 507 of the family's 1533-position model. The record is from RNAcentral.
GACGAACGCUGGCGGCGUGCUUAACACAUGCGAGUCGAACGGAAAGGCCCUGCUUUUGUGGGGUGCUCGAGUGGCGAACGGGUGAGUAACACGUGAGUAACCUGCCCUUGACUUUGGGAUAACUUCAGGAAACUGGGGCUAAUACCGGAUAGGAGCUCCUGCUGCAUGGUGGGGGUUGGAAAGUUUCGGCGGUUGGGGAUGGACUCGCGGCUUAUCAGCUUGUUGGUGGGGUAGUGGCUUACCAAGGCUUUGACGGGUAGCCGGCCUGGGAGGGUGACCGGCCACAUUGGGACUAAGAUACGGCCCAGACUCCUACGGGAGGCAGCAGUGGGGAAUAUUGCACAAUGGGCGGAAGCCUGAUGCAGCAACGCCGCGUGCGGGAUGACGGCCUUCGGGUUGUAAACCGCUUUCGCCUGUGACGAAGCGUGAGUGACGGUAAUGGGUAAAGAAGCACCGGCUAACUACGUG